Molecule: ribosomal RNA, 427 nt
Filed under: uncultured bacterium
Lineage: Bacteria
Description: bacterial SSU rRNA
Rfam family: Bacterial small subunit ribosomal RNA
Source: RNAcentral
UGGGGAAUUUUGGACAAUGGGCGCAAGCCUGAUCCAGCCAUGCCGCGUGAGUGAAGAAGGCCUUCGGGUUGUAAAGCUCUUUCGGACGGGAAGAAAUGGCGGGCUCUAACAUAGCCUGUCGAUGACGGUACCGUAAGAAGAAGCACCGGCUAACUACGUGCCAGCAGCCGCGGUAAUACGUAGGGUGCGAGCGUUAAUCGGAAUUACUGGGCGUAAAGCGCGCGCAGGCGGUCUGGUCAGUCGAUGGUGAAAGCCCCACGCUCAACGUGGGAAGGUCCGUCGAGACGGCCAGACUGGAGGCAGGGAGAGGUCGGUGGAAUUCCGGGUGUAGUGGUGAAAUGCGUAGAGAUCCGGAGGAACACCAGAGGCGAAGGCGGCCGACUGGACCUGACCUGACGCUGAGGCGCGAAGGCGUGGGGAGCGAACG